UGUUGUUUCAGCGUAGUGAUCAGCGUGUUGGACUUCUAUUCCAAAAGUCGUGGGUACGAUACCCUACAGGGUCAU
Molecule: non-coding RNA, 75 nt
Organism: Henosepilachna vigintioctopunctata
Lineage: Eukaryota; Metazoa; Arthropoda; Insecta; Coleoptera; Coccinellidae
Source: the annotation of a GenBank genome assembly